UUUCGCAAUGCCCGAAAGGGUGACGAAGCGACGCCGCGUGGGUGAGGAAGGCCUUCGGGUUGUAAAGCCCUGUCAGGAGUUAUGAAAUGUAAGUGCGCUAAUAUCGUGCUUAUUUGACAAAGGCUCCAAAGGAAGCCACGGCUAACUCUGUGCCAGCAGCCGCGGUAAUACAGAGGUGGCGAGCGUUGUUCGGAAUUAUUGGGCGUAAAGAGCACGUAGGUGGGUUUGCAAGUCAGAUGUGAAAGCCUUCUGUUCAACGGAAGAAUUGCAUCUGAAACUGCUAAUCUUGAGUAUAGGAGGGGAGAAUGGAACUUCUGGUGGAGCGGUGAAAUGCGUAGAUAUCAGAAGGAACGCCGGCGGCGAAAGCGAUUCUCUGGCCUAUUACCGACACUCAGUGUGCGAAAGCUAGGGGAGCAAACGGGAUUAGAUACCCCGGUAGUCCUAGCCGUAAACGAUGGGCACUAAGUAGAGGGGUUUUA
RNAcentral lists this ribosomal RNA (479 nucleotides) under uncultured anaerobic ammonium-oxidizing bacterium. RNAcentral's name for it is "bacterial SSU rRNA". It matches the Rfam family "Bacterial small subunit ribosomal RNA", at positions 364 to 833 of the family's 1533-position model. The record is from RNAcentral.